Arabidopsis thaliana (thale cress) is the source of this 448-nucleotide RNA transcript. RefSeq lists it as uncharacterized. The transcript has a single exon. NCBI's taxonomy places the organism in Eukaryota, Viridiplantae, Streptophyta, Magnoliopsida, Brassicales, Brassicaceae. The record is from RefSeq.
AAAUCUUAAUCAUAUCAUUCAUCGUAUAUAGACUCCAAACACGUUUUUCAAACUCCUAUGAUCAUGUGUUCUCUCUUUGCCUCCGUCUUUGAUUGCUUUGUUCCAAAAUCAGACUCAAAGAUUAGCUCAACUGAUGAGAGUGACUUGAAAGUCCUGUCCUCAAAGAAACCAAAAAGCAAAUCCCCGAGAGCUCCGAUUAUGGUGUCUUACUUUCCCGCCGGUUCAAACCUUUCGCGUCUAUAAGUGCCAAAUAGAAGAGAAGAGAAGAUGAAGUAUUGGGAUGUUGAUUUUGAUAUAAACGAAAGAAGUUUUUGGUUGUAGACAUGUUGUAUGCGCAGGCUUUAAUUUUAUGUUUUAUUUAAUUAUGUACAAAUAGACCAUUUAGAUUGAUAGCAUCAUAUAUAUGCUUUGUAUUUAAGACCAAAUAAAAGAUUAAUGUUUAUAUACA